This is a long non-coding RNA of Mus musculus (house mouse), 2517 nucleotides long. RefSeq annotates it as predicted gene, 41353. The transcript has 2 exons. The record is from RefSeq and is a predicted model, not a curated record. Lineage: Eukaryota; Metazoa; Chordata; Mammalia; Rodentia; Muridae.
GCCCUAUGAUCCAUCCAUUAGCUGACUGUGAGCAUCCUAAUCAGACUUUUACUCAGUUGUUAUUAUAGGACUACUGGCCCUCAGUUCUGAAGUCAGUGAAAAGGCCAGCUCAGGAACUCUGGGCUACAGGAGUCAGGGAAAGCAGAGAAAAGAGACAGUAAAGGACUAGUGUGCAUACUUCAAGGAGAGAGGCCACUGGGCUCCAGAGUGCCCUAGCAAAUGGAAGCAGGGAGCAGGAAGUCCCAGGCCUUGGGAAAAGUGCCCCCAAAAGGCAAAGGUCUUAGCCCUGGGUAAAGACAGUGAUUAGGGGAGACAGGAUUCAGAUCCCCUCACUGAACCCAAGAUAAAACUCUGAGAGUGGAGGGGAAACCCACUCAAUUCUUGGUGGACACAGGGGCUCAACACUCAGUCCUCCAAGCUGACGGGCCACAACUAACCUGCUGGAAUCUGAGGCUACCUGGUUUACAGACUGGAGUAGUUUUCUCCACGAAGGUCAGAGAUGAGUGGGUGCUGCUGUGGUGGACUGCACAAAUGUCAUCUGGGCAGAGCCUCUACCCCUUGGCACCUCUACCCCUGGCACUUCUACCCCCUGGCACCUCUGUCAAUGCAGAGAGUGCAGCUAAUUGUCCUCGCCAAGGCCUUGGAACUUGGAGCCAGCAAGAAAAUUAACAUCUGCUCGAAUAGCAGGUUUGCCUUUGCCACAGCCGGCGUCCACAGGGCUAUAUGCCAAGAGAGAGGACUGCUCACGUCAGAGCAAACAAACAGGAAACCUUGAACCUCUUGGAUGCCAUAAUGAAGCUGGCAACUGUGAGUAUUAUUCACUGUCCAGGACAUCAGAGGAGAAGAGACUCAGUGGCCCCGGGCAAUAGCCAGGCAAAUCAAGUGGCUCCAGAAGUGGCUAUGCGGGAGCCUAUCUGGGUUCUGGGACUGGACUAAGGAAUGGCUUCACUUAAAAUAUAUGGAAGAAGAAAGGACUCAGAUUGCUAGUCACCCUACCAACUAUUACCAAGAGAAGGAAGGACAAUGGCACACACAAGAAGGGAGAACUAUACUUCCCAGAAAGCAAGCAAAAAGACUUACUAAGCCAAAUGCACCGAUGGAUUCAUUUAGGGGGUACAAAGCUUGUCCAAGCACACAAGGAACCUAAAGUAUAUAUAACCGACCUCAGGUUCUGGGCCAGAGAGAUAGUAGAACAGUGUAAGGUAUGUCGGCAAAUAAAUGCUUAUGCAACCAAGAGUAAACAGGGCAAAAGGCCUAGGGGAGAACGGCCUGGAGUUUAUUGAGAGGUUGAUUUUACAGAAGUUAGGCCAGGAAAAUAUGGUUACAAAUACCUUCUAGUGUACCUUCUGGAUGGGUUGAGGCUUUCCCCACCAAGCAGGAAACAGCUACUGUGGUAGCUAAAAAAAAUAUUAGAGGAAAAUUUCCCGAUGUUUGGAGUGCCCAAGGUAAUUGGAUCAGACAAUAGUCCUGCUUUUGUCUCUAAGCCCGCAAGGUGGAUGGUAUUGAGGCCUGGUGCACGCUUCUCAUGUGAAACCUGUAGACACCCCACUCCCCAGGGACCCCCACUGGAUGGUACAGAAGGUGGACAAUCUGCUCAAGCUCAAGAUCACUCGACCUUGAUCAUGACCGCUUGGUGGUACCUUUAGAUUCUGGUUCCUUCCCCCAUCCUAUGUGCCCGUCUGCUAAACCUGUUAGAGCACUCACUGUCUCCCUUCUGUUGAGGUUGGGGAUGGCCAGGGCAGCCACUGGGACCUCUGCUUUGGUCUUACAAGGGGAAAAUUAUGACAGUCUGAAGGCUGCCAUUGAUUUAGAUGUAGAGCGAAUAGAAACUUCCACCAGUCACCUUCAAGAAUCACUGACUUCAUAGUGAUACUGCAGAAUAGGAGGGGAUUAAAGGUAACUUUUCCUCCAGCAAGGAGGGCUAGGUGCUGCCUUAGCUAAGGAGUGUUGCUUUUAUAUAGACCAUUCUGGGGUUGUUAACCCUGUUAGGACCCCCUAAUUGUUCUCAAGCUAUAGUUGACUUUUAGCCUCUACAUUUUGGACCACUUGGUCGCUGUUGUUAAGGAACACAUAGGUCCAGUACAGCGUAAAGCUGAGAUACAAAGAACUAGAUACAGAAGACCAGAAGUAUGAGCUAUCAGAAUGCCAGCAAUAGCUGCAGGAUUGAAGCAUGCACAAAGAAAAGGGGGAAUGAAAAGGUCAGCUCAGGAACUUUGGAAAGGUCAUGGAAUAUUUUCCCCUUCGGAAGGAAGAGGCUAAUUAACAUCCCUCAGACCACAGCGGGGCAGCGGGGUGGGUAGAUGACCUGCAAGUGGGUACAGACAAGGGAAGUCCUUACCACUUCAUUCUCUAAAGACCAGUCAGUUUAAAAGUCACACUGUUCUGCCAGUCACGUUGUGCCUAAUGGUGGCAGCCCUGAGAACCGUAUGGAUGGGCUGUGCAUGGUUGCUCUCUCCCCAUGUGCAAGGUGACCCCAGCAUGCUGGAUUAAAUAAAAUUCCUCUUGCUUUUGCAUCGA